GUGGGGAAUUUUGGACAAUGGGGGCAACCCUGAUCCAGCCAUCCCGCGUGUGCGAUGAAGGCCUUCGGGUUGUAAAGCACUUUUGGCAGGGAAGAAAAGGCGCAGGUUAAUACCCUGUGCUGCUGACGGUACCUGCAGAAUAAGCACCGGCUAACUACGUGCCAGCAGCCGCGGUAAUACGUAGGGUGCGAGCGUUAAUCGGAAUUACUGGGCGUAAAGCGUGCGCAGGCGGCUCUGCAAGACAGAUGUGAAAGCCCCGGGCUCAACCUGGGAACUGCAUUUGUGACUGCAAGGCUAGAGUGCGUCAGAGGGAGGUGGAAUUCCGCGUGUAGCAGUGAAAUGCGUAGAUAUGCGGAGGAACACCGAUGGCGAAGGCAAUCCCCUGGGCCUGCACUGACGCUCAUGCACGAAAGCGUGGGGAGCAAACAGGAUUAGAAACCCCGGUAGUCC
Molecule: ribosomal RNA, 450 nt
Filed under: uncultured bacterium
Lineage: Bacteria
Description: partial 16S ribosomal RNA
Rfam family: Bacterial small subunit ribosomal RNA
Source: RNAcentral